This 245-nucleotide ribosomal RNA is filed under the name uncultured bacterium. RNAcentral's name for it is "partial 16S ribosomal RNA". It matches the Rfam family "Bacterial small subunit ribosomal RNA", at positions 524 to 768 of the family's 1533-position model. The record is from RNAcentral.
GACGGAGGAUGCAAGUGUUAUCCGGAAUCACUGGGCGUAAAGCGUCUGCAGGUGGUUUCUUAAGUCCACUGUUAAACCUUGAGGCUCAACCUCAAAUCAGCAUUGGAAACUGGGAAACUUGAGUAUAGUAGGGGUAGAGGGAAUUUCCAGUGGAGCGGUGAAAUGCGUAGAUAUUGGAAAGAACACCGAUGGCGAAGGCACUCUACUGGGCUAUUACUGACACUCAGAGACGAAAGCUAGGGGAG